GGAAGGAUCAUUAUCGAGUUAGGGUCCUCGUGGCCCGACCUCCAACCCUGUGUAUAUCGACCACGUUGCUUUGGCGGGCCCGCCUCGCGGCCGCCGGAGGUCCUCCCGUCCUCUGGCUUGAGCCCGCCAAUGGCCCCUAACCCAAUACAUUUUAACCGCGACGUUCUGAGCAAACUUUAAAUGAUGCAAAAACUUUCAACAACGGAUCUCUUGGUUCUGGCAUCGAUGAAGAACGCAGCGAAAUGCGAUAAGUAAUGCGAAUUGCAGAAUUUAGUGAGUCAUCGAAUCUUUGAACGCACAUUGCGCCCUUUGGCAUUCCGAGGGGCAUGCCUGUCCGAGCGUCAUUAUCAACCAUCAAGCCCGGCUUGCCGUUGAGCUCGCCCCCUCCGGGCCGGCUUGAAAGACAGCGACGGGGUCGACGGCACCCGAGAUGCAACGAGCCCUCCACGGCACGCAUCGAGACGGCCGGCGGCCCUGGUUCCCCCCUUUCUCUCUCUCCAGGUUGACCUCGGAUCAGGUAGGAGUACCCGCUGAACUUAAGCAUAUCAAUAAGCGGAGGAAAAGAAACCAACAGGGAUUGCCCCAGUAACGGCGAGUGAAGCGGCAACAGCUCAAAUUUGAAAUCUGGCCCUCGCGGGUCCGAGUUGUAAUUUGUAGAGGAUGUUUCGGGCACCGCCCCGGUCUAAAUUUCUUGGAACAGAAUGUCAGAGAGGGUGAGAACCCCGUCCUGGAUCGGCGGUAGGGCCCGUGUGAAACUCCUUCGACGAGUCGAGUUGUUUGGGAAUGCAGCUCAAAAUGGGUGGUAAAUUUCAUCUAAAGCUAAAUACCGGCCAGAGACCGAUAGCGCACAAGUAGAGUGAUCGAAAGAUGAAAAGCACUUUGAAAAGAGAGUUAAACAGUAUGUGAAAUUGUUGAAAGGGAAGCGCUGGCAACCAGACUUGAGCCUGACGGUUCCCCCUUCGUUCGCGUUGGGUCAUUCCGUCUCGUCCAGGCCAACAUCGGUUCGGGCGGCCGGUUAAAGGCCCCGGGAAUGUAUCAACCCUGCGGGGAUGACUUAUAGCCCGGGGCGUCAUGCGGCCUGCCGGGACCGAGGAACGCGCUUCGGCACGGAUGUUGGCGUAAUGGUUGUCAGCGGCCCGUCUUGAAACACGGACCAAGGAGUCUAACAUCUACGCGAGUGUUUGGGUGUCAAACCCGUGCGCGCAAUGAAAGUGAACGGAGGUAAGAACCCUCGCGGGUGCAUUAUCGACCGAUCCUGAUGUCUUCGGAUGGAUUUGAGUAAGAGCGUAGCUGUUGGGACCCGAAAGAUGGUGAACUAUGCCUGAAUAGGGUGAAGCCAGAGGAAACUCUGGUGGAGGCUCGCAGCGGUUCUGACGUGCAAAUCGAUCGUCAAAUUUGGGCAUAGGGGCGAAAGACUAAUCGAACUAUCUGGUAGCUGGUUCCUGC
Molecule: unclassified non-coding RNA, 1446 nt
Filed under: uncultured fungus
Lineage: Eukaryota; Fungi
Description: sequence contains 18S rRNA gene, ITS1, 5.8S rRNA gene, ITS2, 28S rRNA gene
Rfam family: Eukaryotic large subunit ribosomal RNA (bases 504-1446)
Source: RNAcentral